CCUACGGUAGGCAGCAGUCGAGAAUCAUUCACAAUGGGGGAAACCCUGAUGGUGCGACGCCGCGUGGGGGAAUGAAGGUCUUCGGAUUGUAAACCCCUGUCAUGUGGGAGCACAUUCACAAGAUAGUACCACAAUAGGAAGAGACGGCUAACUCUGUGCCAGCCGCCGCGGUAAUACAGAGGUCUCACGCGUUGUUCGGAAUCACUGGGCGUAAAGCGUGCGUAGGCUGUUUCGUAAGUCGUGUGUGAAAGGCGCGGGCUCAACCCGCGGACGGCACAUGAUACUGCGAGACUAGAGUAAUGGAGGGGGAACCGGAAUUACCGGUGUAGCAGUGAAAUGCGUAGAUAUCGGGAGGAACACUCGUGGCGAAGGCGGGUUCCUGGACAUUAACUGACGCUGAGGCACGAAGGCCAGGGGAGCGAAAGGGAUUAGAUACCCUGGUAGUC
RNAcentral lists this ribosomal RNA (446 nucleotides) under uncultured bacterium. RNAcentral describes it as "partial 16S ribosomal RNA". It matches the Rfam family "Bacterial small subunit ribosomal RNA", at positions 338 to 795 of the family's 1533-position model. The record is from RNAcentral.